GAUGAACGCUAGCGGCAGGCCUAAUACAUGCAAGUCGAGCGGCAAGUCGAGGAGUAAUCUGAGACCUAGAGCGGCGCACGGGUGCGUAACGCGUAUGCAACCUACCUUAUACUGGGGGAUAGCCCGGAGAAAUCUGGAUUAAUACCCCAUGGCACAUAUUGAUGGCAUCUGAGAUAUGUUAAAGAUUUAUUGGUAUAAGAUGGGCAUGCGUCUGAUUAGCUAGUUGGCGGUGUAACGGACCACCAAGGCGACGAUCAGUAGGGUUCUGAGAGGGACGACCAGCCACACUGGUACUGAGACACGGACCAGACUUCCUACGGGGAGGCAGCAGUGAGGAAUAUUGGUCAAUGGUGCAAGCCUGAACCAGCCAUCCCGCGUGAAGGACGACUGCCCUA
Molecule: ribosomal RNA, 395 nt
Filed under: uncultured bacterium
Lineage: Bacteria
Description: bacterial SSU rRNA
Rfam family: Bacterial small subunit ribosomal RNA
Source: RNAcentral